This 164-nucleotide small RNA is filed under the name Gopherus agassizii (Agassiz's desert tortoise). Its description in RNAcentral is "TUC338 (ENSGAGG00000024280.1)". The record is from RNAcentral. Lineage: Eukaryota; Metazoa; Chordata; Testudines; Testudinidae.
UUGAUAGCCCUCGGAGACUGAUGUUCUCUAUUUAUCUAGAGAACAAGUAGAGCAGAGUCAGUGCUAGCAACACACAGCACGUGUACCUCCUUUCCUUGCCAUCAUUGAACCUCAGCACUGCCCCAUAGGACUCGUCUCCAAGCCAGUUCAGUCCUUACGUCUUU